AAGAUAGGCAUCGAGCAAAUCUGACAAGUCCAAGUCUGAGGUGAGCGACAAGGACGACGACAACGAGGGUGACUAGUGAUGCGGCACACCAAGCAACAGUGGGGGAAGGGGGUCUCUAGAAUGUCGCCGUUGCCGCUUAUUGCUGAAGUCACCAAUUUAUGAUGGAUGGUCGUUGUUAGUUUAGCUCCUUGGUAGUCCCUCUUUCAAGCAGCUGCAGUUGGUAGAAAUGGUAGCUACCGUGUCCCAUGUAGUUCAUGUUCUCAAACUGCCCUUUGUUGCUUCAUUUUGAUGUUAGUUUAGUCUCUGUUGAAUGUACCUACUGUGUGCUCGUGGCUGUUUCAAAAGUCCUUUCAUGUUGAAAGAAAUAAAAUGCUCUCGCUACUUGUUCGAA
Molecule: long non-coding RNA, 391 nt
Organism: Triticum urartu
Lineage: Eukaryota; Viridiplantae; Streptophyta; Magnoliopsida; Poales; Poaceae
Source: RefSeq, a predicted model, not a curated record